Molecule: ribosomal RNA, 796 nt
Filed under: Halobacteriovorax sp.
Lineage: Bacteria; Pseudomonadati; Bdellovibrionota; Bacteriovoracia; Bacteriovoracales; Halobacteriovoraceae
Description: bacterial SSU rRNA
Rfam family: Bacterial small subunit ribosomal RNA
Source: RNAcentral
CAGUCGAACGAGAAAGUCCUUCGGGAUGAGUACAGUGGCGCACGGGUGAGUAACACGUAGGUGACCUGCCUAUUAGCGGGGGAUAACACGAAGAAAUUCGUGCUAAUACCGCAUACGCAAAGUGAAUUUGGAAGUAGCUUUGGAAAGAAUGCCUCUCCUUGGAAGCAUUUACUAAUAGAUGGGCCUGCGUAGCAUUAGCUUGAUGGUGGGGUAACGGCCUACCAUGGCGACGAUGCUUAACUGGUCUGAGAGGAUGAUCAGUCACACUGGAACUGAGACACGGUCCAGACUCCUACGGGAGGCAGCAGUGGGGAAUAUUGCGCAAUGGGCGAAAGCCUGACGCAGCAAUGCCGCGUGAGUGAGGAAGGCCUUCGGGUUGUAAAGCUCUGUCAUAUGGAAAGAAUGGUCAUUGUUCUAACAGGGCAGUGAUUUGACGGUACCAUAAAAGGAAGCACCGGCUAACUUCGUGCCAGCAGCCGCGGUAAUACGAAGGGUGCAAGCGUUGUUCGGAUUUAUUGGGCGUAAAGCGCGCGCAGGCGGACUAUUAAGCCAGAUGUGAAAUCUCGGGGCUCAACCCCGAAACUGCGUCUGGAACUGGUAGUCUAGAAUCUUGGAGGGGGAAGCGGAAUUUCGCAUGUAGGGGUAAAAUCCGUAGAGAUGCGAAGGAACACCAGAGCCGAAGGGGGCUUCCUGGCCAAGUAUUGACGCUGAGGCGCGAAAGCGUGGGGAGCAAACAGGAUUAGAUACCCUGGUAGUCCACGCCGUAAACGAUGUGCACUAGAUAUUGGAGACUUGA